This 303-nucleotide ribosomal RNA is filed under the name Gonycranaus pluto. Its description in RNAcentral is "partial 12S ribosomal RNA". The record is from RNAcentral. Lineage: Eukaryota; Metazoa; Arthropoda; Arachnida; Opiliones; Gerdesiidae.
CCCUAGUAUAAGAAUUAUUAAUUAGUAAGUGUUUGAAACUAAAAAAUUUUGGCGGUUGAUUAUUAUUUAGAGGAGCUUGUGGUAUAGAAUUUACUCUUUAUAUUUUACCAAUAAUAAGUUUAUUUAUCUCGUCAUUGUCGGGAGAGUUUUAGAUGCUGAUGUUUCAGGUCAAGAUAUAGCAAGUAUUGGAAAAAUUAGCUACAUUUAUGCAAUAGUGAAUUUGGGGGAGGGUUCUCCAAUGAAGUUGAAUUUAACAGUAAUUGAUUUUUAGAAGGAAAUUGUGAAUGGGGGGUAGAUCAAUGU